GAUGAACGCUGGCGGCGUGCCUAAUACAUGCAAGUCGAGCGAACAGACGAGGAGCUUGCUCCUCUUACGUUAGCGGCGGACGGGUGAGUAACACGUGGAUAACCUACCUAUAAGACUGGGAUAACUUCGGGAAACCGGAGCUAAUACCGGAUAAUAUAUUGAACCGCAUGGUUCAAUAGUGAAAGACGGUUUUGCUGUCACUUAUAGAUGGAUCCGCGCCGCAUUAGCUAGUUGGUAAGGUAACGGCUUACCAAGGCAACGAUGCGUAGCCGACCUGAGAGGGUGAUCGGCCACACUGGAACUGAGACACGGUCCAGACUCCUACGGGAGGCAGCAGUAGGGAAUCUUCCGCAAUGGGCGAAAGCCUGACGGAGCAACGCCGCGUGAGUGAUGAAGGUCUUCGGAUCGUAAAACUCUGUUAUUAGGGAAGAACAAAUGUGUAAGUAACUAUGCACGUCUUGACGGUACCUAAUCAGAAAGCAACGGCUAACUACGUG
RNAcentral lists this ribosomal RNA (497 nucleotides) under uncultured bacterium. Its description in RNAcentral is "partial 16S ribosomal RNA". It matches the Rfam family "Bacterial small subunit ribosomal RNA", at positions 28 to 507 of the family's 1533-position model. The record is from RNAcentral.